GCUGGUAACCUUUUUUACUAGGUAGAGAAGCUGGACCAACUGGGGUUCUUCCAGGGGGAGAAUGAGAAAGAGAAACUGUUUUGCAAGUCCGUAGCUAUUUCUCUAGGGCCCUGUUAGCUGACAUUGACAUGCCUUGCAUUGCUCUGCAGAUCCCCUCGCAGCCCUCUGUCCCUUGUUCAUUUCUGGCCUUAGAGAAAGCAAAGCAGGGUCUGUAACAGGGGAGGCUGCCUCUAAACUCAGGGUUUGGUUACAGCUGUUUUCACUUACAUCACUGGCCCUGGUUUUUUUUUUUUUUCUGGCAUUAAAAAAAAAAAUUGGAAGCAGGUGAUGUUCCCAUUGCUGAUGUGGUGGAAACUCUCCAAGUGAACAAUAUACGUUUUUCUUGGCAGCUGUUUCUUGUGCCCUGCUUGCUCCUGGUCCAGGACAAGCAAGGACCAUCUGCCUCUUUCAAUAGAACACCUCCAGAUCCCUUUGAUCAAAAGUUACUCAUUGUCUGACUUGCUAUUUCUGUGAGAUAAAUGGGAGAAGAUCAAUAAAUGCACUUGUUUGUCCA
This 553-nucleotide long non-coding RNA is filed under the name Homo sapiens (human). Its description in RNAcentral is "non-protein coding lnc-OR13C9-2:1". The record is from RNAcentral. Lineage: Eukaryota; Metazoa; Chordata; Mammalia; Primates; Hominidae.